Molecule: ribosomal RNA, 449 nt
Filed under: uncultured bacterium
Lineage: Bacteria
Description: partial 16S ribosomal RNA
Rfam family: Bacterial small subunit ribosomal RNA
Source: RNAcentral
GACGAACGCUGGCGGCGUGCCUAACACAUGCAAGUCGAACGGGACCUUCGGGUCUAGUGGCGGACGGGUGAGUAACGCGUGGGAACGUGCCCUUUGGUUCGGAAUAGCCCCGGGAAACUGGGAGUAAUACCGGAUAAGCCCUACGGGGGAAAGAUUUAUCGCCAAAGGAUCGGCCCGCGUUGGAUUAGGUAGUUGGUGGGGUAAUGGCCUACCAAGCCGACGAUCCAUAGUUGGUUUGAGAGGAUGAUCAGCCACACUGGGACUGAGACACGGCCCAGACUCCUACGGGAGGCAGCAGUGGGGAAUCUUAGACAAUGGGGGAAACCCUGAUCUAGCCAUGCCGCGUGAUCGAUGAAGGCCUUAGGGUUGUAAAGAUCUUUCAGUGGGGAAGAUAAUGACUGUACCCACAGAAGAAGCCCCGGCUAACUCCGUGCCAGCCGCCGCGGUAA